AGUGAACGCUGGCGGUAGGCCUAACACAUGCAAGUCGAACGGCAGCACAGUAAGAGCUUGCUCUUACGGGUGGCGAGUGGCGGGCGGGUGAGGAAUACAACGGAAUCUACUUUUUCGUGGGGGAUAACGUAGGGAGACUUACGAUAAUACAGCAUACGACCUACGGGGGAAGGCAGGGGAUCUUCGGACCUUGCGCGAUUGAAUGAGCCGAUGUCGGAUUAGCUAGUGGGCGGGGUAAAGGCCAACCAAGGCGAGGAUCCGUAGCUGGUGUGAGAGGAGGGUAGGCGGCAUGGGAACUGAGACACGGUCAAGGCUCCUACGAGAGGGAGCAGUGGCGAAUAGUGGACAAUAGUCGGAAGUCUUAUCCAGCGAUAGCGCGUGGGUGAAGGAGGCGUUCGGGUCGUAAAGCCCUUUUGUUGGGAAAGAAAAGCAGCAGGUUGAGACGCAGCGGUAGUGACGGUACCCAAAGAAGAAGCACCGGCUAACUUCGUG
Molecule: ribosomal RNA, 492 nt
Filed under: uncultured bacterium
Lineage: Bacteria
Description: partial 16S ribosomal RNA
Rfam family: Bacterial small subunit ribosomal RNA
Source: RNAcentral